UUCUAUUACCAUUAUUAAUAGUAAAAUCUGCUCAAUGACCUUUAAAUAGCCGCUAUAUCGUGCUAAGGUAGCAUAAUCAUUCGCUUUUUAAUUGAAAGCUAGAACAAACGAUUUAACAAUUUAAUUAAUUUAAUUAAAUAAAAUUUUAAAUUUUUUUAAAAGUAAAAAAACCUUUAUAUUCAAGAAAGACGAUAAGACCCUAUUAAACUUAACUAAAGUUAAACUGGGGCAGUUAAAUAAAUAAAAUUUUAUUUUUUAUUAAAUAAUAAAAGACCUAUUCUAUAUAAAUAUAUAAUCAAGUUACUAUAGGGAUAACAGCGUAAUUCUUAUUAAAAGAUCUUAUUAAAAUAAGAGAUUGCGACCUCGAUGUUGAAUAAUAUUCUAUAAUAUCGCGCAAUAGCGAUAUAAGAAAGUCUGUUCGACUUUUAAAUAAUUACA
RNAcentral lists this ribosomal RNA (438 nucleotides) under Trachelas tranquillus. Its description in RNAcentral is "partial 16S ribosomal RNA". The record is from RNAcentral. Lineage: Eukaryota; Metazoa; Arthropoda; Arachnida; Araneae; Corinnidae.